AACGAACGCUGGCGGCAGGCCUAACACAUGCAAGUCGAGCGCUCUCUUCGGAGGGAGCGGCGACGGGUUAGUAACGCGUGGGAAUGUACCCUUCUCUAAGGAAUAGCCAUUGGAAACGAUGAGUAAUACCUUAUACGCCCCCCGGGUCAAACUGGGGGGGAAAGAUUUAUCGGAGAGGGAUCAGCCCGCGUAAGAUUAGAUAGUUGGUGGGGUAAUGGCCUACCAAGUCUACGAUCUUUAGCUGGUUUUAGAGGAUGAUCAGCAACACUGGGACUGAGACACGGCCCAGACUCCUACGGGAGGCAGCAGUGGGGAAUCUUGGACAAUGGGCGCAAGCCUGAUCCAGCCAUGCCGCGUGAGUGAUGAAGGCCUUAGGGUCGUAAAGCUCUUUCGCCAGAGAUGAUAAUGACAGUAUCUGGUAAAGAAGUCCCGGCUAACUCCGUG
RNAcentral lists this ribosomal RNA (444 nucleotides) under uncultured bacterium. Its description in RNAcentral is "bacterial SSU rRNA". It matches the Rfam family "Bacterial small subunit ribosomal RNA", at positions 29 to 507 of the family's 1533-position model. The record is from RNAcentral.